AGAGGUAUAGCUCAGUGGUAGAGCACAUGCUUACAAUGAAAGAGGUCCUGGGAUCAAUCCCCAGUACCUCCA
This 72-nucleotide transfer RNA is filed under the name Camelus bactrianus (Bactrian camel). It matches the Rfam family "tRNA". Rfam says of the family: Transfer RNA (tRNA) molecules are approximately 80 nucleotides in length. Their secondary structure includes four short double-helical elements and three loops (D, anti-codon, and T loops). The record is from Rfam by way of RNAcentral. RNAcentral also lists the same sequence under 2 other names. Lineage: Eukaryota; Metazoa; Chordata; Mammalia; Artiodactyla; Camelidae.